RNAcentral lists this long non-coding RNA (16691 nucleotides) under Nicotiana tabacum (common tobacco). RNAcentral's name for it is "long non-coding RNA (NTAB_LNC014806)". The record is from RNAcentral. Lineage: Eukaryota; Viridiplantae; Streptophyta; Magnoliopsida; Solanales; Solanaceae.
AGCAACUUAGUCAAUGGAGCAACUUUUGCUGAGUAGCCACUGAUGAACCGACGAUAAUAGUUAAUAAGGACAAGGAAGGAUCUCAACUCAGUUACCUUUAUAUGUGCCUCUCGCUCCUGGAUAACACGUACCUUAGCCUCGUCCAUGCGUAGCUCGCCAUUGCUAAUAACAUGGCCUAAGAAGUGCACCUUCAGUUGUGCAAACUCACAUUUAUCCCUCUUGAUGUAUAGCUCGUUCUCCCGCAAGACAUGGAAAACCUUCCUUAAGUGCCAAAUAUUCUCCUCUAAAGUGUUGUUGUAGAUGACUAUGUCGUUUAGGUAGACUACCACAAAUUGAUCAAGGUAGGGAUGCAAAAUCUUGUUCAUAAGGGUGCAAAAUGUGGCCGGUACAUUGGUUAAGCCAAAGGGCAUCACCAACCACUCAAAGGCUCCAUAUCUCGUCACACAUGUUGUCUUCGGCUCAUCCCCUUAUGCAAUGCGAUAUGCUUAAUAUGAAGCAAAGAAGAAUCAGGUGCCUCUCUCUGACAUCACUUCUUUUAUAUUUAAAAUAAAAGAAAAAGCAAGAUAGUUGGGCAACAACCCUUAUUUUGCCAACUGAGGCCGCGAGCUCCAAUGUUUUUUUUGUUGGGACCACCAGAUUGAAGUAAACCUCAUGCAUGCUUUGUCACCUCUGCACUAUCUCGAUUAAUCGCCUUUUGCGCAUGCAUAAAGAUGUCUCCUUGUUUUAUAUGUCACUCGAUGACUUGAGUAGGAGCUUUCCCUUUCUUUCCCGUCUGUGCUUUCAUGUUCUUCUUUGCCUUCUUUGAAUAAAAAAAGCCAGGAAUUAUAAAUAAUAUUGUAGAAUAAGAGGGGACCCCUUCCACCAGAUUACUUUACUGACUGUACUUCAUUCAAAAAGAGUAAAGGAACUGGUUUAACAAAAGGGCUCUCAAAAGUGAUCUGAUACCUUCUUCCCUUGGUCUGGGAGGUAGGUUAUGUAGGCGACAACUGUUCAUAGGUUGCUCGAUCAGGCCAAAUAACCGUCCUCAAUCUUUGGCACAUCUGGAUCGGGAUCGGCGGAAACUCACUCGAUCUGCGCGUCUACCGGGGCACCAUACUUACUUUUUGUACUCUCUAGUCACCACUCCUCCGAGUACGAUAAAGUGAAAGGAGACAAGACUAUGGGCCAUGCAGACUUGACGUCAUCCCCACCUUCCUCCAGUAUAUCACUGGCAGUCCUUCGUGAGUGCGGCACACACCUUUUUGUUUGUUUCGGAGCCGUUUGUUUGGGCGGGGCGUACUAAACCCAUUAUGUACCACACCACCGGGUGGCUUGCCUGAAUGCCGAAUCUUUCUCUGCCGUCAACUCGACGUCGUCGUCACCUGCAAGAUAAGGCCAAAAACUUGGUAGUAGCCCUUGCGAAGAUCCACCUUAGUAAAGUACUUAGCUUGCCCAAGUCUAUCGAACAAGUCAGCAAUGAGCGGGAUCGGGUACUUAUUCUUCACUAUGACCUUAUUAAGUGCUCGACAGUCUAUGCACAAGUGCAGCGAUCCAUCCUUCUUCUUCUGGAACAAUAUUGGUGAGCCGAAAUGUUCCUUUGAUAGGCAAAUGUGACUAGCAUCUAGUAGCUCUUUCAAUUGUUUCCUAAGAUCCUCUCGCUCGGGCGGUGCCAUACGAUAUGAGGCAAAUACGGGUGGCUUAGCCACUGCUCCAACUCAAUCUUGUGAUCCACCUCUCGCCUAAGUGGCAAAUGCUUAGGCAACUCCUCGGGUAUGACGUCUUUGUUUUCCUCAAGCAACUUCUCUAUGCAAGGCGGCAGUGUCUCUUGAAAACUCUUAUCUUCCUCCAGACUUGCGAUGGUUGCCACGAACGUCGACUCCCCCUUCUUGAUCCCCUUGAUAACCUGCAUAGCUGAGAGUUGUGCUUGGAUCUGUCCGUGUGGCAUAGUCACUAUAGGUACCAUGCAAGCUCAUUCUUGCUCCAUAUCCAAGAGAUGUUGGAGGUAGGGUUCAACCAAAGUAUGACAAUGUCUAAAGAACUCUUUCCCCAAUAUGAUGUCAAAGAUAUCCAUAGCGGUUACGGUAAAGUUUGUCAUACCUUUCCAAGUUCCCAAUUUGACACCAACUCCAUUAGCUACCCCACGAGCAUUCUGUACCUCGGCAUUCACAGUCUUAACCCGAGAGUUGGUUGGAGCAAGCUUCAAUUCUAGUCUCUUUACGGUAGCCUCAGUCACAAAAUUAUGAGUUGCUCCAGUAUCCACCAUUGCACGAGCAAGCUUGUUGUUGAUGGUGAGAUCCACGUACUGAUUUCCAUUCUCGGUAUAUUGGAUAGAUUGCUUCGUGACAGCACCGCAUAAUCCGAUCAUACCCCAACUGUGCAUUUCCCGAACCAUGGCACUGAGGCUCUUUAGGUCAGGACAAUGCCUGAAGCUGUGCGGCCCUCCGCAUAUGUAACAUCCCUUUUUCUCGGCAUGCGCCUUCUUCUCGGCGUAGCCCUGACGGCCACUCGACUUUUUGGAAUCUUGAGUAUUAUAGUAUUGUUGUUGUAUCUCCUUGCUUUUUCCACGGUCUCCCCCACAUUUGACAUUGUUAAACUUUGAUUCAGCCUCCACUAUGGCUUGGUCUAUAUUUGUGACUUGCCGGCGUUGCAACUCCUGCUUAGUCCAAUUUUGCAACUCGUCCAUGAAGUGGAACAACAAGUCAUCAUUGGUCAGGUUGGGGAUUUGAAGCAUAAGGGUAGUGAACUUCUUGACAUAGACAUGCAUGCUCCUUAUUUGCUUCAACUCCCUAAGCUUGCGCCUCGCCUCGUACAAGACAUUAUUUGGAAAGAACUGUCGCUUGAACUCCGCUUUGAAUUGAUCCCACGUGCUAGGAGUACAUAGACCUUUAUCCACGUCGGCCAUCUUCCUUCUCCACAAUAGCAUGGCAGUCUUUGAGAGGUACAACACUGCAGUGUUGAUCAUGGCCUCAUCAUCCCUCACUUUGUCAUGCUUGAAGUAGUUCUCCAAGUGCCAAAUGAAAUUUUCCACCUCUUGUGCAUCGCGAACACCUUUGAACACUGGGGGUUUGGGAGCCUCGAUCUUGGCCUCCCUCGUCACCGCAACAUUGAUGGCUGCCUCGGUCACGACAACACUAACAUGCUCCUCGAGUGACUCUAUCUUUGCCUUUAUAACAUCGAUAGUACUCAAAGCCUCCAUGAGUCUGCACUCUAAGGUAGUGAUGGUUUGCCUUAGUUACAUCUCGGCCUGUGUACGUCCUUUCAGGUCAUUUCACAUACUCUCAAUCUCUUCAAGAGUAUGCCUCUCGAGAAUGUUAAGGGUGCCUUCCACCUUCCCCAAGCGUUGGCCAAAGAUUUCCAUGACGUCUAUCUCCGCGUUCAACUUCAUCACCCACUCUUUACCGAGUGAGAUAUCCUCGGGCAGGACCUCCACUUCAUCCUCGCUCGCCUUAAUGGCAUAUGGUUAUUGGGAUGUAAGCCCUUCGUUUGACACAACCUUGGGUGGUACCUCCUGGCUCUUGUUGGUGGCAUUCCUCUUUUUGUUACGACCACUCUUGCCAGUAGCAUCUCAUAUGACGUUCUUGGGUGUUGGCGGCGUUAAUUUCUCCGCCGUUCGCCAUUCCCUUAGUUAUAACCUUUGCUGUGAUACCACGUUGUCACGUCCUUAGUCGUUAACUAAGUACACGUGCGACACUUGACAAUUUGCUCACGAUCUUGCACAACUUGCUCACGUUCUUGCUAUGCCAAAUCGGCCUUACUACACUCAAGAUCGCUAAGAGAGUGGUAGAAAGAACGCACGAGAAUUGUUAAAAGAAGCUUUGUAUUAGAGAAAACUUGAAUUGUUUGCUUGGUGAAUUACAAAUGGAUGCCUCCUUUAUAUACUAGUCUCCUAGGGGCUAGAGUGUAAAUAUUAAUUGUUACACAAGUCCUUAAUAUUUACAAGAUAAGGGCUUUCUCUAUAAUUUUCUACAAGGCUAGAAGAUUCCAAAAAUUUUCCUAGCAAAUCCAUAGGCAUAUAGGGUCUUCCAAAGGAAAUGUCCAUACUUCUCGAAAAUCUUCUCACAAAUACUAGCUUUUCUCCUAUACAAAUACUAGCUUUUCUCCUAUGUAAGCUUUCGCAUGGUAUUAAUAUAUGACAAAUGGUGCCUAUGUGGCAUGGUGACGUGGCAGGUCAUCACACAUAGCCCAUUAUUUUUUAUAAUAUUAUUUAAAUCAACUUUGGCCCCACCUUUUCUCUUUUCUAUUUUUUUUUCGAGCUAACUCCCCUUAUUUCCCCCACCCUCUUUUGUUUAUUCUGAUCAUUUUACCUUUAUAUAUUUUUUUCUGUUUAUUUCGCUUUUUAAUUAUUUUCAAAACUAACUCUUUCAUAACCAAAUUUAAAGAUGCAAUAUAUGUAUUCCAAAAUUAGACCUUUUUCUCGGACAAAAAGUUCGGAAACAAAAAAUCUAAUUGCAUCGCAAAUUUUAUCUAGACAUAAUAAAUUAAGUAUUUUGUUAUUAAUAUUUGUAAAUGUAUAAGUAAUGUAUAAGCACUGUACAAUAAUUUAUAACUGGUCAUUGCAUACUAUUAUACAAUGUUUAUACAUAUAUUAUACAUUUUUACUCUUAGUACACUUUUUUCCCAAGCCAUUGUAGCAUUAUCUUCCUUUUUAUUCUCCAGCUCUCAAAUUUUUAUACAUGAAGUAUAACAAGUAUAAGAAUUGUACAAUAAUGUUUAACAAGUCAUUGUACACUGUUAUACAGUGUUUAUACGUAUAUUAUACAUUUUUACCAUUAAUACACGUUUUUUUUGAAGUCACAGCAUUCUCUUCAACCCCAAUCUUUUAUACAUGAAGUAUAACAAGUAUAACAGUGGAUGCAUCUUUUAUACACUUUUAUAUGUUAUUAUACAAGUAUAUAUACCCUUGUUAUACUAUUAUAUAGCAUAUAUACAUGUAUAAUUUGCCUAUAAAUAAAGCAUCUACACUGUAUGAUAGUGUAUAACAUAUAUACAAUGUGGAUACAUUUGUUAUCAGAGGCGGAUUCAGGAUUUUGGGUUCGUGAGUGUUUUAUUUUUUUUUUAAAUUUAUGUGUAACUAUUGCCGAUCACAUAGUAUACGCGCAUAACUAUUUGAACAUGACGGUAAAAAAGUUAGUAAAAGAAUUUGAUGGACUUUGCCACUAUAAAAGAACGAUUCGUUUUUGAAAUGGUCGAACUUUGGAGUUUCUAUUUGCUAUAUAGAAUUAUUAGGUAAAAUAGAAAGAAAAGUAAAUAAAAGAGAAAGGUAAAACAAAAUUCAGAGAAAAUAUAGGCUAGAAAAAAGUAUAGUAGUAUCCGGUCAAAAAAGUGGCUAAUUGAUAAAAUAAAAUAGAAGACCUAAGAAGGAAGAAAAUAAAUGGGGAAACUAUAGUGUAUGCCUAUAAAAGACAAAUUAUUUACCUUAUUUUGCCCAUCUUUAAACUAUUUGUAACUUUUACAUACAUGGCCUAAAUUUAUUACACGCAUACCCAUUACCCUUUCCCCCGUUUCCCCCCUUUAUUCAAUAGUAAAGGGUCCGAUGUAAAUGCAAAGCUCUUCCUCUCUUUCAUUAUGCAAGCAUUUACCUGUAAAAAGGAAGUUUAGUGUACCUAUUUUAUUUUAUCUUUAUUUUUUAAAAUUGAAAGGAGUUUAUUUCUAUAAUAUGCAAAAUCACGACAUCUAUAGAUUAGUUAUGCAAAUAAUAUUUUAUGAUAAAUAUCAAUAACAACCUAAUAAAAUUAUAAUAAAUAUAAGUUAUAUAAAAAAUAAAUACUAUACUAAUAGUAUAAAAUAUUUUUAUAUUAUUGUUAAUGUAUAUAACUUAAAUCAAAAAAUAAAAAAUCUCUUAAACUUCAAUAACGAAUCAACUAUGAUUCCAGUAUUGCUAAUGCAUGAAAUGGUGAUGCCUUGCUAGCUGUAUCUUAUGUUAACUCUUUAAAAGCGGAAACUUAAUAAUUUAUUUUUAUAUACAUUUGCAAAACCCAGUUAACCUAUUUAUUUUUGAGCAAUUUAUACUAACUACCUACUCAAGUCAAAAUAAUUACCUGUUUAUACCCAUUUUAAAAAUAAUUGUAAUACAUACCUAUUCCACCAAAAUUAAUUACCCGUCCAUCUAUCUCUGCCUAAAAAAGGAGUUGUCAUCACGACCUUUUUAGUAGAACUUAUAUUCAACGAAAGUGAUUAAGCUGAAGGCAAAAUAACAUAUCUAAAUUUUAGUAUAAUCGAUAAUGCACAAAAUUGAGUUAAUUGUAUUAUAUGACAACUGAUAUUAUUUCAGUUUAAUAAUUGAAUUAAAAAAAUCUUUUUUAAACUCUUUGCGUACAAUUGUAUACCCUGUUAGUAUAACUACAUACUAUACUGGUAUCAUAUGUUAGUUGGAAUAUUUUUCGGUUGUAUUGGCUACAUUUAAUUGGUACACUAGUAGAAUAGUACAGUAUCUUGAAUUUUUUAAUUUUCUUUAUGCAUGUGUAUUAUGUAAUCAUUUUGAUUUUUUCUUUAUGCGUUUGUUUUAUAUAAUAGUAUUAUAGUACAAUAAUUUGAAAUACAUUAUUAUAUUAAUAUGUGGUACACUAUUUUUUGAUNNNNNNNNNNNNNNNNNNNNNNNNNCGUAUACCCUGUUGGUAUAAUUAUAUGUCAUAUUAGUAUCAUAUGGUUAGUUGAAAUAUUUUUUGGUUGUUUUACCUGCAUUUUUAAGUGAAUUCUAUUCUGAAAUUAUUUAUAUGAUCAUGUUUUGCUGCGUUGGAUUUUCUUGUACUUAUGGACAUAGAUUUUGUAUAUUAUGUAACAGUUUUUAUAGUUAUAAGCAGUUGUUAGAACAACCCCGUAUAACUAUAUACCCUAUUAGUAUAAUUAAAUGCUAUAUUGGUAUCAUAUGCUAGUUGAAUCAUUUUUUGGUUAUAUUAGUUGCAUUUAAUUGGUACAUUAUUUGAUUUUCUUUUAAUAAUAAGUAAUAUAGUACAGUAUUUUGAAAUACUUUAUUAUAAUAAUAUAUGGUACACUAUUUUUUUUAUUUUUUUCUUUAUGCAUGUGUGUUAUGUAAUAGCAGUAUAGUCAUAUAGUUGUCGGAAAUUAACAAAUAAAAUUGUAUACCAUGUUGGUAUAGUUAUAUGUCAUAUUGGUAUCAUAUGCUAGUUUGAACAUUUUUUGGUUGUUUUAGUUGCAUUUUUAAGUGAAUUCUAUUAUGAAAUUAUUUAUAUGAACACCAUUUGCAGUGUUGGAUUUUUUUGUCUCGAUGGACAUAAAUUAUGUGUAUUAUGUAAUAGUUUUUAUAGUUAUAAGUAAUUGUUGGAACGACCCCAUACAACUAUAAAACCUAUUAGUAUACAGAAUGAGCAAGUUGCUUUGCGAAUAUUUAGCUUGCAAUGCGAGUACGUAAUUUUCUCAUACUUUUAUUGCAUCCUUUAAUGUUUUGGUACAGUAGUAUAGUCGCAGAUAGUUAUAGCAAUAUUCUAGAGCAAUCAUAUACUAUGUUGGUAUACAUGUAUACAAUAUUGGUGUCAUAUGGUACUACAAGUCUUUUUUGCUACUUAUACUUUUAUUGCAUUUUCCAAUAUUUAUUAUCAUUUCUAUUCUAACUAGUAUAUAUAGAGAUUUGGUAGGCGUAGAUUAUAUUUUCUUGCUCCAUAACUGAUUGUGUUACUGCUAAUGGUAGAGUGUGUACUGAUAUUUGCAGGGAAGGAGAUCAAGGUUUGCAUGACAAUCACGAGUUGAUUCUUAGAAUCUGAUUAUGUAAUUUAUGGUGCUCAACAACAGUUAGUGUGAUAUUCAGUGAAUUAGAUCAAGUGACGAUUAAUAUUAUUUUAGUUUAAUAAUUGAAUUAAAAAAAUAAGAAAAAGUCAAAAGGUAUAUUAUACUAGUUACAUUAAAAAAAAGAUGAACAAAUAUUUACUAUAUCAAUUAUUUUUUCUUAUUGUAUAAAAAUAAGAAUAAUAAAAAAUAGUGAAAACAGUAAAUGAAAUUAGAUUAUGAAGAGAAAAAAUAAUAUAAAAAAGAAGUUAAAUGAAAUUAGAAAAGGAACAAGAAAUAAAGAAAAUAAAAAAGGAGUUAAAUGGAAUUAGAAAAAGGAACAAGAAACAAAGAAAAAUAAAUAAAUAAAUAAAAAAAGGAGUCAAAAUUGAGUGUGAAAUAAGUUAUGAUAAAAAUAACAAUAAUACGAUUUGGGCAAAUAUAAAUGAAUAGAAAAAGAGAAAAAAAAGAAAAAAAAAAGAAGAAAACGAGAAAAAAGAAAAGUAGAAAAGAAAGGAAAAAAGGAAAAACGAAAAGAAGCAUAGAAAUAAAAAAGAAUUGGAUAAAAAAGAGAAAAUUCCCCACAAAAACUACUAUGGGUAGGAAAUAUAAUUAAUUUGAUGGGUAAAAAAAUAAAUGGAUAGAUAAUGGUAAAUGAUUUUAUUUUUGUGGGUAACUGUGUCAUUCACCACAUUUAAUAUCCUUCUUUGACCAAAGCACCUACCAGGCUUUUUGUUUCAUGGGUAUUUCCUGUUUCGUCAUAUAAAUUGUAGAAAUUUUCUAUAUAACUAUACAUACCUCAUGUUAAGGUUAAUGGGUGAUGAAUCACCCAAAUCUUGUAUGUAAAUCCGCCACGACUUGUUAUAUACACUUACCUUACAAAGUUGCUUCCACCCACCAUUAAACCUCAAUCUCAAAAUCAUAAUCAUAAUUUUCUUAUUAACAAAAAGAAUUAUUAGCAUCAACAAGCACCAUUUUUGUAAAAAAUCACUAAAGUGAACACAAAAAUGUUGUCCGAAAAUCAGCACUUCUCAGUUAAAUAUAUUUAAAUAAAUUAGUUAUUUUGUUUCAUUGUGGAGCAGAUAAUGAAAAUUAUAGAGCAUAGAAUGCAAGCUUAUGAGGAAACAGUAGGGUUGAACUAAUCUGAGAUAGAAAUAAUAAAAUUAAGCUACAUUUUGCAAAUUUUGAAGACAAAAUGGAGGAGGAAAUAACAGAGGGCUUUUGUUUAAUAACUUAAGGCAAAUAAGGCCGGCGGACAAAGCAAAAGCUAAGGAGAAGAUGAGAAAGAUUAAGCAACUCAAUGUUUUAAAUCAAGUUUGAUAUCUGUAAUUUUUUGAUAUAAGUGAAUUAUAUUAUAGAUAAAAAUUUAAAUCAAGUUUGAUAUCUGUAAUUUUUUGAUAUAAGUGAAUUAUAUUAUAGAUAAAAAGAGAGAGACAGGUGGAGAGAGAAUUAGAUGUAUCGAGCAUGGAGAAAGGACAGAAAAGAAAAUACUUUACAAGUGUGUCUUUAGUGUCGGAGUAACAUAUAGAAACUGGGCCAAAUCGAUAAGAAGCUAAAAUAUGAGUCCAAUUUGAUUGAAAUAUUGCGCAGCUAAUAAUGAAGGUUAUCUUUUUUAUUAUUAUUACAGGAAGAGGAAGGGAAAAGGGAACAAAACAUUAUAAUAUAUGGAAUCCGACUCCUUAGCACAUAGUAAAAGAUGAAAGACUACAUUACGAGCCACCUCCCGACGAUAUUUUCUAUUUAUUGAAAAAAUAACGGUAAUUUAAGACUUUUAUUUAAAAAUUAGUUAGAGCUUAUAAAGUUUAACCACUUUAAAAUUAAUCUCAAAUUCACGAAAUUGAAUAAAGUUAAUAAUAUUUAUCAGGCGCUGACUUAUUGAGUAUGAAGUUAAGCUUGAAGAGUCUUAUAACCUGUUUGGUUUUUUUUUUUAAAAUUAAAGUGUUUGGCCAAGUUUUUAGUAGAAAAAAUACUUUUGAGUAAAAAUAAAAAUAUUUUUGUGAAUUUUUUUAAAAUAACUUAUUUUCAAAAAUAUUUUUUUGAAAAGUACUAUUGAAAAAAAUACUUAGAAGUACUUUUUAAAAGUCUGGUCAAAUAGUAAUUGAUACUUAAAAAUAUUUUAAAAUUGAUUAGCCAAAAGUAUAUUUUAAGAAAAUUCCGGUAAUUUAAAAGCACGGCCAAACAGACUACUUUUGGUAUGGGCGGGAGGUUUAGGCGGGGGCCCAUAGACCGGAAAAGAUCAGGUGAGCACAUCGAAGAAACCCUAGUAAUAUCCCAAUAUCGCCAAACCAAGUGCUUCGUGGAGGGAGAAACGUAAAUUCCAGUCAAAAGAAAAAUCUCCCUCUCCGUAGUCCGUCCCAUCGGCCAAAUGCUAAAAAAACAUUGGUCCCAUUCCCAGUCUCAACAAACACGUUUUAUCCUUUUCGACGAUCUAUCCUCUUUUGUCUUGUUUUUCUCCGAAUGAGAUACACAUGCUUGAAUUCAGGAAUAGUAUUCCAAAUGCGGCGAAAGUCACAGCUCGAACAAUCACUACCUACUAAUAUUUUAGCGUUUCCCUUUUGGAGUUGACAGAAAUAUGGCUGCGGAAUCCCAAUCGCAGAAGAAGAGUUACUGUAUCGUCGGAGAUGUAUAUCGUGGUGUCAUGAUUGUACCCAAGGAGUUGGACCUUUCUCCUACCAAGGAUCUCAUGCACCAUCAAAUUAACCUUCAACUCAAGUUCCCUGACGUGGGUCGAGCCUUUACCGUAAGUUCAUUUUCAUUCUGAUUGGACCAUUCAGGCCUCUAAUGUUACUUUACAUUUCGUCCGUGAACCUUGGCUUAACAAUGUAGUUGGCGGAAAUGCAUUCAUUUCUGCAGAAUUUUACCAGGACUAGAGAAGUCGGUGAAUUUCUCAGUGGUGCUUUGGCUGGGGCGAUGACCAAGGCCGUUCUAGCUCCUCUUGAAACCAUCAGGUUGUAAGAUUUACCAUGAAGUUUAAAACUGAUAGUUACUAAUUGAUUUCCAUUUCUGAGGAGUUAUAUCUAUUCCAUCAUCUGGAUUAUGUAAUUUCCAUAGUGAAUUUUGGUAAGAUAACUUAAUUAAGAUAUAAAAGCUCCUCGUAUAGGAUAUGAACUUUUGACUUGGAUGAAUUUUUAUUUCCUUUCAGCUGGCUCUUACAAUUCAGUAGGUUAUGUUACCUCAUUUUGUUAUUUAAAACAUGCAGGACAAGAAUGGUAGUCGGUGUUGGGUCCAAAAACAUUGGUACAAGUUUUAUUCAGGUUAUUGAGCAGCAGGGUUGGAAAGGGCUGUGGGCUGGUAACACAAUCAACAUGUUACGGAUAAUUCCUACACAGGCAAUUGAACUUGCUACAUUUGAGUGUGUCAAGCGAGCAAUGAAUUCGGCACAAGAGAAAUGGAUCAAUACUGGCAACCCCAAGCUACAGAUUGGUAAUGCUAGCAUGAGCUUUUCUCUCUCAUGGCUGUCGCCAGUUGCUGUUGCUGGUGCUGCUGCUGGAGUUGCAGGCACACUUGCAUGUCAUCCGCUUGAAGUGCUGAAGGUAUUGACUAGAGAUCUUUUCAGUGGGGAAAAUAGCUUUGCUUUUCAGAGUGUUAAUGAUGAUCUUCAUAGUUGUAUCAUUAAGUUAUUGUGCUUGUUAUGACUUAUGAGCUUGUGGAAAGAAAAAACGAUCUGACAUUUUGGUGCUGAUCUUCACAGGAUCGGCUGACUGUGAAUCCUGAGGUCUACCCCAGUCUAUGCAUUGCAGUUCACAAGAUUUACAAGGAGGGUGGAAUUGGAGGCUUGUAUGCUGGACUUGGGCCAACAAUAAUUGGCAUGCUCCCAUAUAGCACUUGUUACUAUUUCAUGUACGAGACAAUGAAGAAAUCAUAUUGCCAAGCACAGAAGAAAAAAUCUCUAAGCCGUGCAGAGAUGCUUCUUAUUGGAGCUUUCUCGGGUAAGAAUCUCGAAUCAAACACAGUAGCUCUCUUUGGUUCAGAUUUGCUUGAACUUAAUAGUGAUCUGCCAUUUUGUGAUAAAAAAGGGCUGAGCUGAAACUUCUAAUUGUCAACUCUAGGGACAUUUAGAUCAUUGCUUAAAAAACACCUUUACUCCUAGCCUAAGUCCUUGUUUCCCCGAAGAUUUGUGUAUCAUGAUCAACUUAAAAUCUGGAAGUGCUGACUUGGAAAUUACAGGUGGCUGUUGAACUGUUCCAGUAGCAGUUCAAGAUUGUAGUAGAGUUGGUCCAUUGGACUUGCGAAAGUUUACGACUCAAAACCAGAUAAUCAUAAUGGGAAAUGUUAACAAAUUGUCCUAAAAAAAAUUAAUUUGCUGAUGCAGCAAAUUCCUGCUAUCUAAGGUCCAUAAAGUAUGCAGGUGCUGUGAUGCUUGAAUUGAUAAUUCUCUAUCACAAUUACUGGAUUUUGCGUUUAAGGCCCUUCUUAUGUAUCACGCUGGUCAAAAGAACAACACCAGAACAAAGAUGUAAUGUUUUUGUAGUAUACUGGAAGAAAAAGGGGAAAGACUGAAACAAGCCUGUGAUGCUUUUCUCCUUCGGUGCACGAGAUCAAAAGAGCAAUACCAGGACAAAAAAGUAACAUUGCUGCAGAGAGGAUAAAGGACAUUCAUUGUACAGAUUCUGACCAAAGGAGGAGCAUCAUACAUUUAAGUAUUUUUUUGAUAAAUCAUUCUGCUGGGGAGUGUCUAUAAGAUUAUAAUAGAGGCGCUAGCGAGGUGACUAAGAAGGGAUAUGGUUUAUCUUACACGUGAAAUGCUUUUGCUGGUAGAAGACAAAUAUUAGACGCAAGUGUAAUUGCAAAGGAGAAAGGACAUUUGUUAUACAGAUUCCGAACGAAGGCGGAGCAUCGUACAUUUAAGUAUUAUUUUAACCAAUCAUUCUGGUGGUGAUUGUCUAUAAGAUUAGCAAGGACACUAAGAAGGAUUAUGGUUGAACUUACGUGCAAAAUGGUUUUGCUGUUGUAAGACAAAUAUUAGACGCAAGUGUAAUUAUGAAUGAGCAAUUGGUUGUGGUGUUGCUGAGCAAUUGAUUUAAGUGUGAUUGCCAUAAUGUUGCUGAAGGGGGGAACCCCUCUGAUGAUGAGAUGGUCCAGCGAGUAGGGAUAUAACGGGAUCUUUACGAAAUAUCCAGAAAUAUUUUGGUGUAACAAAUCUAUGUGCAUUUGGCUAAACCAAAGGAAUAAAACAUGAAGUUCUUUCCUAAAACAGCAAAUGCACACCAUUGAUAUAAUCACAUCGAUAGUGGUCAACACAAAACAAGAUAAGUAAAUUAGAAAAUUCCUAUAGGAUGGAGCCGAUAGAGAUAAAGAUUGUGAUCUUGUUAUUGGAGCGUGGUUUCUAUUUGGAUGGAGGAAAAUGAUAUCAGUUCUGAUAGAUCCCGUAUAUUAAAUAAGCAGACAUAAUAAAUCUUUGAUAUAUUUGAUUUCCUAAAAUAAAGUUAAAAUUUUGGACUUCACGAGGCAAGUCAAAGGACUUCAUCAUUAUUGACCUCAAGCUUUUAUAUGUUAGUAUAUGAUAUUUUAUUCUUUGGGCCACGGGUAGAACACCUGGUAAAGAGACCCAAUCUUGAGUGAAAUAAAUACCGCAACUUCGAUCUUGUUCAAAAAAAAAAAGUAAAAAAUAAAAAUUGGGUUGCGCUAUAGUUAGCUCAGCACCAAUCAAGAAUCCCCAAGGAAUUCCAAGAAUUCUUGUUAUACAUUUGUUCCAAAUCCUAUAGAAUCCUAUACCAAUUUUUCUUUUGCUAGGCCCAUAACUAAAAAGCCCACUUUCUUACGAUUACGAGGUUUAUUCGAAUAUGAAAUCCAAUAAAGUAUUGCCCACUUUUAAAGCUCCUUGGACUGCAAAUAGGGAUGUGAUUUUAUUUGGGAAUAUCUGCUGUUCAUUAUGGUAUGCCUUUUUAACCUUGAUGAGACUCUAUCUGCUUUUAUGCUAUCUUACUGUAGCCAGUUGUAAGAUUACCAUGCAUUUCUUAAAGAGUUAAUGUUAUGGUUGAUCAGGUUUAACAGCUAGCACUAUCAGUUACCCAUUGGAGGUGGCAAGAAAGCGGCUAAUGGUGGGUGCUUUGCAUGGUAAAUGUCCACCUCACAUGGUGGCAGCACUUUCAGAAGUCAUUAGGGAUGAGGGUUUGUUAGGCCUUUAUAGAGGCUGGGGUGCGAGUUGCCUAAAAGUAAUGCCAUCAUCAGGCAUUACUUGGAUGUUCUAUGAAGCUUGGAAAGACAUAUUGCUUGCUGAUAGACGUCAUGUGUUACAGUAGACAUAGUAGCACAAGAAAUGAAAUCGUAUUUCCACCCUCCCAUGUGUACAAUGAUUUGACUACUGUAACGUACUCAAGCUGGAAGCUGGCGAUGGUAGGAUGGGUCAACCGUGGUGUCUGUCAUCAUGAGAUUCAUUAUAGCUGUGCAUCCAGAAUUUUUGUUUGCCAUCUUCCCCACUCUUCCGUGUGCACUAAGAAAUUUCUUUAACAUUUCUGUAAACGACAGAACAUGCAUUUAUGAUUACUGCAAGAAUUACAGGCUUUUGCCUUUGUAAUUUCUUCGAGUACUUGUUUCUCAAGGGUCAGUGUUGUGGUACUACUUGGUUUGACCAGAUAAACACUCUUAAGCAUAUCAUGGCAAGGGCAGUCAAGUUUGGAGAAGCAAAUGGGCCAAAGUUUGUUUUAUUCUCCUACAUGUUGAUAAUGGGGACAACGGGGGCUUCUGAUUUUGGUGUACUUGGUUGAUGCUCUGCAGUGUUCAUGUUUUUCUAUUUUUCUUUAUGUUCAUUUGGUUGAUGCUCUAUACGGCACGCAUAAGUUGUGUAAUGGUGCAGAGUACUUUACUUGGUAGAAACUUGUUGAUAAAUUAAUGAGACGGGAAUAUCACAUUACGAUGAUUUUCUUCUUGAAAGGAAUUCUUAAGGAGUGAGUGUAUACUUUCCAUUUUUGACCGUCUCACCAAAAUGCUAGCUUUCUUACAAAGGAGCAUUUAAAAAUAUAUAAUACGCCUAAUGAUUUUAUUGGACAUUAGGCUAGCCUUCUUUUAUACAAAUCUGUUUUAAGUUGCAAAGUUUAAAGAGUUUACAAAGGAUCUCACCAGCCUUCUCAACUAUAAGUAAUCUUUCUCAUUCUUUAAUCAUUUGAAAAAUUAAACUAAAACAUUUAAUUUGAAAUAGAAGAGCCAUGGAAGAUCAUGUCAAAUAUAUAAUGGGUCAUGCUGAGAUGGUGACCCAAGUUAACUGGUUGCUCCGUUUCCAGCUCUCAUAUAUGCAUAUUUAACUGAGCGAUUUAUAAAAUGCGUAAGAUUGUUGUUUUUGAUUGGCAACAAUGCCCUGAAUUGCUUUUGAGCAUAUUUUGUAGAAAGCCACGUCCAAAGCAAGCAAAUCUUGUCAACUAAAUUUGGCGUGCACAAAAUAUUUCUCCCAGAAUACAUGCUUGAUUAUUCAAGAUAUCUACAUUCUUGGAUACAGUUGGCAAAUAAAACAACACACUAUCUUCGUGCCUGGACAAUCAAUGAGCUUAAGCAGUAAGCACAGGUGACCCCUACUAAAGGCCAGACAGGCACUCUCAUACUGCUGCUUACUGGACAAUCAACAGUCAAGCUGCUGGAAACAAUUCUACCAUCCACCAAACGAGUAUAAAACUGACAAUUUUGUUCAACAAUCUAGGGUUCACAUGUUCCAAUAUCUGCAUGACAAAUGGUAGAAUGUGCAAACAUGUAUUCAUAGGUCAAAACACUAAAAUUCUUCAAAACAUGUCAUAGAUAAUCAAACACAACAGCUGCAUCAAAUAAUAACAACUUGCAGCUGUGCAAAAUAAAGCAGAGCACUUAAACUCUACACACCUUCAUCAGACAGCUGCUCAGAGAGCUGUUCAAAUCGAGCCACUAUGUGUUUUCCGUAGGUGUAUUUCUUCAAAGCAUGAAGAUGAACUCUGAUUCGACUGAGCAGAAUUUCACGGUGCUUAUCGUUGCUAAUCUCGAGAAUCUUCUGGACCACAUAAUUCGCAAAUUGGUCCUUCAUCAUCGACUACAACAAGAGCCAAAAUUGCCCAGUGAAUAUGUCAAUUUACGCAAGAAAUCAUUUGUCAUUAUUUUGAAAAUAUAAACACUUUACAUUCACCAUAUAGAAAAGUGAGAAAAAGGAUAAUAGUGCCACACAAAAUGCUAAACAUACCGUUGAGACCACUUCCUACCCAAAUUAGUCUAAAGGUCAAUAAAUCCAUUACUAUCUCGGUCUUGGAGGACCAACCCAAGUGACAAGGGUGAGACCCCUAGAGUCUAAAGCUUCCGUCUUCCUGGAAGUACAAUUAGUUGUGCAGUUCAUGAUCUCUUCCAAGCUACUUUCAGUUGGCAAUUAGCUUCACUACUUUUAAACCACCUCUUUCCAUGGUGGGUAGAUUGUACUACAAACAAGCAGAGCAAGAGAAACCCAUAGAUGAUGAGAUGGUGGACAAGCUAAGAGCUGUGACCAUGAAAUGCAUCCCACAACAUCACGACAGGUGGCCAUGGCUAGUUUAGCACCGUUUCAUAGCUGGACCAUUAAGAUAACCAAAACUCGUAUGCUUUCCUUUUGAAAACAAAAAAAUGUACAAACUUGCAACAAUUGAUGUAUAGGAUCCUCAACAUAUUGAGAAAAGGUCUUUUCCCUUCUCAACUAACAAUUUAUUCGAGUUAUCCUGUUUCCAUUCAUUCCCUCUUCUUCUUUGGCUUUCUUCUUAAUUUGGCUAUUAUACUUCUUCUUCCCCUUCUUAAUCUAUGACUUUUAAAGGCUAUUGAAGUGACUAAUUCCUGGAAAUUAGGAGGCGUUAAAAACAAAGAAAUUGUUGGAGUUUCUAUGGAUAUAAGGCUUUAAUUGAUAGAGAUAGAGGAAGCACCGUAAAGAUCAAUUAGCAAGGUUUUGGGCCGAUACAAUAAUAACUGCGUACUUAUGUCAUGAUGGAAGAAAUACUUAUCUCAUGAUGUGAGAUAAAAAUUAGGAAUUAACUUAUGUAAUAGAGUCGAUCCACUAAAGUCUUGAGCGGUGUAGGAUC